AUUGAACGCUGGCGGCAUGCCUUACACAUGCAAGUCGAACGGUAACGCGGGGCAACCUGGCGACGAGUGGCGAACGGGUGAGUAAUACAUCGGAACGUGCCCAGUAGUGGGGGAUAGCCCGGCGAAAGCCGGAUUAAUACCGCAUACGACCUACGGGUGAAAGCAAGGGAUCGCAAGACCUUGCGCUAUUGGAGCGGCCGAUGUCAGAUUAGGUUGUUGGUGGGGUAAAAGCCUACCAAGCCGACGAUCUGUAGCUGGUCUGAGAGGACGACCAGCCACACUGGGACUGAGACACGGCCCAGACUCCUACGGGAGGCAGCAGUGGGGAAUUUUGGACAAUGGGCGCAAGCCUGAUCCAGCCAUGCCGCGUGCGGGAAGAAGGCCUUCGGUUGUAACGACUUUGUCAGGAAGAAACGGACUCGUGGGUCGUAAUUAACCCCCGGGGGUAAACGUUAGACGGUACCUG
RNAcentral lists this ribosomal RNA (466 nucleotides) under uncultured bacterium. Its description in RNAcentral is "bacterial SSU rRNA". It matches the Rfam family "Bacterial small subunit ribosomal RNA", at positions 29 to 481 of the family's 1533-position model. The record is from RNAcentral.